UACGGGGGGAGCAAGCGUUGUUCGGAUUUACUGGGCGUAAAGGGCGCGUAGGCGGCCUUCUAAGUCGAACGUGAAAUCCCCGGGCUCAACCCGGGAACUGCGUCCGAUACUGGGGGGCUUGAAUCCGGGAGAGGGAUGUGGAAUUCCAGGUGUAGCGGUGAAAUGCGUAGAUAUCUGGAGGAACACCGGUGGCGAAGGCGGCAUCCUGGACCGGUAUUGACGCUGAGGCGCGAAAGCUAGGGGAGCAAACGGG
RNAcentral lists this ribosomal RNA (253 nucleotides) under uncultured bacterium. RNAcentral describes it as "partial 16S ribosomal RNA". It matches the Rfam family "Bacterial small subunit ribosomal RNA", at positions 524 to 776 of the family's 1533-position model. The record is from RNAcentral.